GUACUGUGCGAACGUUAUUCGGAAUCACUGGGCUUAAAGGGUGCGUAGGCGGUUGAUUAAGUAGGGGUGUGAAAGCUCUCGGGCCUAACCGAGGAAUUGCGCUCUAAACUGAUCAACUUGAGUGAGAUAGGGGUGUGCGGAACUUCCAGUGGAGCGGUGAAAUGUGUUGAUAUUGGAAGGAACGCCGGUGGCGAAAGCGGCACACUGGGUCUCAACUGACGCUGAGGCACGAAAGCCAGGGUAGCGAACGGGAUUAGAUACCCCGGUAGUCCUGGCUGUAAACGAUGAGCACUAGACGGGAGGGGCUUCGGCCCAUCCGGUCGCAGCGAAAGCAAUAAGUGCUCCGCCUGGGGAGUAUGGUCGCAAGGCUG
This 371-nucleotide ribosomal RNA is filed under the name uncultured organism. RNAcentral's name for it is "partial 16S ribosomal RNA". It matches the Rfam family "Bacterial small subunit ribosomal RNA", at positions 527 to 896 of the family's 1533-position model. The record is from RNAcentral.